This 922-nucleotide ribosomal RNA is filed under the name uncultured archaeon. RNAcentral's name for it is "bacterial SSU rRNA". It matches the Rfam family "Archaeal small subunit ribosomal RNA", at positions 1 to 923 of the family's 1478-position model. The record is from RNAcentral.
UUUCCGGUUGAUCCUGCCGGAGGCCAUUGCUAUCGGAGUCCGAUUUAGCCAUGCUAGUCGAGCGAGGUUAGCCCUCGCGGCGAACAGCUCAGUAACACGUGGCCAAGCUACCCUGCAGAGGGGGACAGCGUCGGGAAACUGACGGGAAUCCCCCAUACCGGUCUCACGCUGGAAUGCCGAGACCGACAAACGCUCCGGCGCUGCAGGAUGCGGCUGCGGCCGAUUAGGUAGUCGGUGGGGUAACGGCCCACCGAGCCGAUAAUUGGUACGGGGUGUGAGAGCACGAGCCCGGAGACGGAAUCUGAGACAAGAUUCCGGGCCCUACGGGGCGCAGCAGGCGCGAAACCUUUACACUGCACGAAGGUGCGAUAAGGGGACUCCGAGUGCGAGGGCAUACAGUCCUCGCUAUUGUGUACCGUAGGGUGGUACACGACCAAGAGCUGGGCAAGACCGGUGCCAGCCGCCGCGGUAAUACCGGCAGCUCGAGUGAUGGCCGAUUUUAUUGGGCCUAAAGCGUCCGUAGCUGGCCCUGCAAGUCCGUCGGGAAAUCCACUCGCCUAACGAGUGGGCGUCCGGCGGAAACUACAGGGCUUGGGACCGGAAGACUUGAGGGGUACGUCUGGGGUAGGAGUGAAAUCCUGUAAUCCUGGACGGACCGCCGAUGGCGAAAGCACCUCAAGACGACGGAUCCGACAGUGAGGGACGAAAGCUAGGGUCUCGAACCGGAUUAGAUACCCGGGUAGUCCUGGCCGUAAACGAUGUUCGCUAGAUGUGGCACAGGCUACGUGCCUGUGCUGUGUCGUAGGGAAGCCGAGAAGCGAACCGCCUGGGAAGUACGUCCGCAAGGAUGAAACUUAAAGGAAUUGGCGGGGGAGCACUACAACCGGAGGAGCCUGCGGUUUAAUUGGAUUCAACGCCGGGA